Centruroides sculpturatus (bark scorpion) is the source of this 476-nucleotide long non-coding RNA. RefSeq lists it as uncharacterized. Lineage: Eukaryota; Metazoa; Arthropoda; Arachnida; Scorpiones; Buthidae. The record is from RefSeq and is a predicted model, not a curated record. The transcript is spliced from 3 exons.
UUGAAUAUUGUUUUAUUGAAUUUAUAUUCAUUUUAUUGAAUAUAAAUUUUCUUAUUUCUUUUUAUACAAUUUUUGAAAUUAAAAAGUACAGUACCAUACAUACAAAAUACAGAAUUGAUCAAAUCACCACUUAAAACGACUGUUUUUAUAAUUAAAACAUGCGCCUUAUUUUGAAUUUCAUGAAGAGAUUCGGAAAAGCUUCUUUAUCGAUUUCGAUAGAAGACUUCUUCAACAUUACAAAGAAAUUUCCCAUCAAGAUGACCAAUUCUCUCUACUCCAUAUUUUCCAGUCUGUGGAAUUUGAGAAGCAUCCAGCAACAAAACGAAAGAUGCACAGAAAUAUCACUUUUUAAUGUACUAACACACAAUUCAGAAAUGAAGUAAGAACUACAAACGACGAAAUUAUAAAAAUUCUGUCGGAAGUUAAAAGGAAAACGAAACUUAAUUGUACAAAAGAACUUGAACUGUAUUAAAAUA